This is a long non-coding RNA of Brienomyrus brachyistius, 2484 nucleotides long. RefSeq lists it as uncharacterized. Lineage: Eukaryota; Metazoa; Chordata; Actinopteri; Osteoglossiformes; Mormyridae. The record is from RefSeq and is a predicted model, not a curated record. The transcript has 2 exons.
CUGGGAAACAGUGGCAUAGGAUUAGUGAUUAGCGACCUGGUGGUGUUUGCCACAGGACUCCUGUAGCUGGGCCUAUGAAAGUCAUUUUUUGCAGAUUCAUUUAGCUUGGCACAUGGACAGUGUUCCCCCAGGACAGAAGCUGAGAGACUUCCUCCCCACCCCCCAGGAACGGAGACACAGUUCCAAGUGAGCUUGAUCGACGCGGUCUGGACCCUUCCUGCGGGGGUGCAGGGGUAUCGACAUUCCAGCAUCUCUACCCCACCCCACCCCACCAGCCGACAGAGCCUUCAUCUGGAAGCCAAACUGUCGUCUGGCCGGUUCCGCCGAAGUCCAGUGUCGCCAUCCGAGGUGGUCCUGCUGAUUUAAGUGGUACCACGGUGCCUUCAGCCAAGCCAGGCGGCCAGCAGGACCAGAUGGGCUCGAGUAAGGAGGACAUGUCAUGUCCCUGUGUCGGGCUCCGGACCGGCGGCCACGGGAGGGGGGGGCCACGAGACGCCGAUAGGACACGUCCUCUCUGGAUGCCUGUCAGACGAACCUCGUGUCCUCACACCUCGGUGACACUUAUUAAGCAGCGCGGGGAGUCUGACGCGACGCUGUGUCACGGCACAGCGUUCAAAGUUAGGCCGGGGCGAGCGACACGGCCCGCCACCCACUGCUGCCGGAACGAUGUCACUUUCAAAGGGAUGCCGAGGAUCCUUUGGCCCAAAUACAGGAACAGGCCAGGCUGCGGAGGGCAGUGUUACAUCCGUUUGCUGUUGGAUGGACAUUUGCGACUGUCUCCACGGGUGUCCACUGUACCCUGCUUGCGCACUUCUGGCCUGUCUUACACCGGACGCCAGUCCAGCCUUGUUUGACUGCUGGUCAUCCACUGAGUGGACAGAAGACCCUCACAGUGGUAUCUAAGCCAUGUGCUUUAUGGUCAAAUUGAACCCCCCAGACAUCCUAUUCUAUCCCAUUCCCGUUUUAAUCUGCUAAAUCAAAUGCAUGUUUAUUGUUUUGUAUUAUACUAAACAUCACCCACUCUCAGAAAAAGGGGUAAAAGUUUGUACUUUUCUUUGUCACUCAAGAGUCUGCCAUUUGUACCCUUAGCUGUGGGUAAUUGUACCUUUUAAGGUACAGAAAUAAUCCAUCCUUUAUUGUCCCCUUGGGGAAAUUCUUUUUUACGCCUCCCUCAACUUGCUCUUUGUAGAGCAAACUGUUCAGAAAUGGACUCUGAGGAACAUUUCUGUACCACUGAUGGUACAUUAAUACUGUUUGAACCUUUGGGAUGUUCCUCAGUCCAUUUCUGUACCUUAAAAAGAUAUAAUUACAAAGGUACAGCCCCAGUGACAAGCAAAGGUACAAAUUUUUAUCCCUUUUUUCUGAGCAUAACAAAACAAAACAUAUUUAACAUGCAAAACAAACUCCCCGGUACCCUGCGCCCCUGAGCAGGACUGCCAGAUUGAUUAUGAAGCAAAUUACAAGAAAAUGGGCUACUUGUUCAAGAAAAGAUUCUUUCAAAUUCCCUUAACCUGUUCUUUGAAAGAUAUCUGAUUCUUCUGAGGUGCAGCACAUUUGUUAAUUCUGUAAGCCGCAGUAUAGAUGAGCGUCUCCCAACCUGGUCCUUGGGGACGCCCAAACAGUCUAUGUUUUUGCUCCCCCCCCGAUCCCUGUCAGACGGUCCACAUUUUUUCUCACUACCGGGAGCUGGGAUGGAGCAAAAACAUGGACUCCUGGGGGUCCCCUGGGACUGGGUUGGAAAACACUGGUAUAGAUAAUAACACCUUUGUCUUUAUCCAAAAUAUGAUUUUUUUUUUUUUCUCGCUGUCAUUAGUCCAUAUGAAACUGAAACGUUGCUGUGCUAUGCUUAGACCUUGCACCCGUUCAGUUAUUCCCAAAACAAUUAACAUUGUAUCUGAAUCUAUGCUCACCCCUAUAUUCACCUCUGAGAAAACCCUGAGAAUAUCUGUCCAAAAGCCUUGCAAUUUAGGGAGGGUGUGAAUUCCUCAAAUUAAGUACAAAUACUUUUUUUUUUUUGAGAGCCCAUAACUACAGCUACUGUUGAAUCAUUAACAUGCAUAAUGUUUUUUUUUUGUUGUUUUUUUUGUUUGCAGAAAAUUGCAAACCUACCUGUCUACCUUCUGGAUUUGAGAAAUCACACAUUGGGGUUGGUGGGGGCAACAGUACAUUCAAAGGGAGGCACUUUUAAUACUCAGGGCAAAUGGGGCAGGAUCCCACCACCACACCACUCGCACGUGCCUGAUCUGAAAUAUGUGACGAUAGUUUCAAAGCGGAACUGUGCGUUGAGCAUUGUCAUUUCUCUGUUCUGAACUCUGAUCUGUGAUGCUCACCUUGAUGCCAAGUCUUUGUAAAGGUGUGGUUUUGGCCAGGACACUAUAUAAAAAAAAUUAUUGAAUCAGUCCUGCCAUAUGUACCAUCUUAUAUGUACCAUCUUAUAUCUUAUAUGUACCAUCUUAUAUGUUCCAAUUAAAUCAUUAGUGUCCA